UACGUAGGCAGCGAGCGUUGUUCGGAGUUACUGGGCGUAAAGCGUGCGUAGGCGGUGGUGCAAGUCUGUUGUGAAAUCUCCCGGCUUAACCGGGAGGGUGCGGCGGAAACUGUGCUGCUGGAGUACGGGAGAGGCAGGCGGAAUUCCUGGUGUAGCGGUGAAAUGCGUAGAUAUCAGGAGGAACACCCGUGGUGUAGACGGCCUGCUGGACCGUAACUGACGCUGAGGCACGAAAGCGUGGGGAGCAAACAGG
This 253-nucleotide ribosomal RNA is filed under the name uncultured bacterium. RNAcentral's name for it is "partial 16S ribosomal RNA". It matches the Rfam family "Bacterial small subunit ribosomal RNA", at positions 524 to 776 of the family's 1533-position model. The record is from RNAcentral.